UACGGGGGGGGCAAGCGUUGUUCGGAAUUACUGGGCGUAAAGGGCUCGUAGGUGGCCAACUAAGUCAGACGUGAAAUCCCUCAGCUUAACUGGGGAACUGCGUCUGAUACUGGAUGGCUUGAGUUUGGGAGAGGGAUGCGGAAUUCCAGGUGUAGCGGUGAAAUGCGUAGAUAUCUGGAGGAACACCGGUGGCGGGGGCGGCAUCCUGGACCAACACUGACACUGAGGAGCGAAAGCCAGGGGAGCAAACGGG
Molecule: ribosomal RNA, 253 nt
Filed under: uncultured bacterium
Lineage: Bacteria
Description: partial 16S ribosomal RNA
Rfam family: Bacterial small subunit ribosomal RNA
Source: RNAcentral